RNAcentral lists this ribosomal RNA (492 nucleotides) under uncultured bacterium. RNAcentral describes it as "partial 16S ribosomal RNA". It matches the Rfam family "Bacterial small subunit ribosomal RNA", at positions 29 to 507 of the family's 1533-position model. The record is from RNAcentral.
AGUGAACGCUGGCGGUAGGCCUAACACAUGCAAGUCGAACGGCAGCACAGUAAGAGCUUGCUCUUACGGGUGGCGAGUGGCGGACGGGUGAGGCAUACAUCGGAAUCUACUUUUUCGUGGGGGAUAACGUAGGAACACUUACGCUAAUACCGCAUACGACGUACGGCUUAAAGCAGGGGAUCUUCGGACCUUUCCCGAUUGAUUGAGCCGACGUCGGAUUAGCUAUGUGGCGGGGUAAAGGCCCACCAAGGCGACGAUCCGUAGCUGGUCUGAGAGGAUGAUCCGCCCCACUGGAACUGAGACACGGUCCAGACUCCUACGGGAGGCAGCAGUGGGGAAUAUUGGACAAUGGGCGCAAGCCUGAUCCAGCAAUACCGCGUGGGUGAAGAAGGCCUUCGGGUUGUAAAGCCCUUUUAUUGGGAAAGAAAAGCAGCAGGUUAAUACCCCGCUGUUCUGACGGUACCCAAAGAAUAAGCACCGGCUAACUUCGUG